RNAcentral lists this small RNA (1036 nucleotides) under Pongo abelii (Sumatran orangutan). Its description in RNAcentral is "processed transcript". Lineage: Eukaryota; Metazoa; Chordata; Mammalia; Primates; Hominidae. The record is from RNAcentral.
AGCACAGCUUUUCACACAAUUGAAUAGAUCUCAACUUCAUGAUUGUGGUAUUGAAGAUGCUGACAGUAGCCAGUGGCUCUGUGAAGGCAAUUUUGCAACCUACCAUUCUUGGCUACUCCUGGGAUAUUUUACUUGGCUGUGAGAGCCCCCUGAGAAGCUUCUCUUUUUCUCACACAAUUCCUCCAUCAGCAAAGUGUGGUGGGCAGCACACAGUGACUGUGAUUCUUGGAGAUGGCACUGGGACUGAACUUAUGCUGCCUGUCAAGAUUAUGUUCAGACAUGUGUGUGUGCCUGUGGACUUUGAGGGAGUGUGAGUGACCUCCACCUCUGCCUCACAUGAAGAGGAAAUUCACAAUGCCAUCAUGGCAGUUCAUUGAAACCGUGUGGCUUUGAAGAGUAGCAUUAAAACUGACGACACCCGGCCACCAUCAUACAAAUCCUUCAACAACAUGUUUACACCACCAUAGAUCUCUGUGCCAACGUCAUUCAUUUAAAAAAUUUGCCAAACAUGGAGACCUGGCACAAGGACGUAGACAUCCUAGUUGUCUGGGAAAACACAGAGGGUGAGUACAGCAAUCUGGAGCAUGAGAGUGUGAAAGGAGUGACAGAGAUCCUAAAGAUCAUGACUAAGGCCAAGUCUUUGCGCAUUGCUGAAUAUGCCUUCCAGCUGGCCCAGAAGAUGGGAUGCAAACAAGUGACGGCUGUGCACAAGGUCAACAUCAUGAAACUGGGAGAUGUUCUCUUCCUCCAGUGCUGUGGGGGAGGUGGCAUCCUGCUAUCCUCAGCUCACCUUAGAAGACACGAUUGUGGAGAAUGCCACAAUGCACUUUCUGUGAAGAGGGCUGCAGAUACGGUGGAACGUGUGUGGCUCCUAACAAAUGUGUCUGUCCAUCUGGAUUCACAGGAAGCCACUGCGAGAAAGUGGUGAGAAUGCUGGCUCCAUGAAAGAGGUCUGCGAGAGCAGGGACCUUGUUUGCUCUCCAGGGCUUACUGCAACAGACUGGCACAUAAGUGUCUAAUAAAUAUUCCGACAGAA